RNAcentral lists this long non-coding RNA (1237 nucleotides) under Monodelphis domestica (gray short-tailed opossum). RNAcentral's name for it is "lncRNA (ENSMODG00000050505.1)". Lineage: Eukaryota; Metazoa; Chordata; Mammalia; Didelphimorphia; Didelphidae. The record is from RNAcentral.
CUAAUAAUGGAGCAAAGUUGACUGCACAAUUUUUCUGUUGCUUCAGUUUUGUCUGGUAAAUAAAAUGCCUGGAAGGACAAAACAAAAAUGUCUAAUGGAAUAUAAUUCAAGAUAAGUAGGAGAAAACCUGAAAACAUCCAGCUGCCUUUGAUGAGUUUAGGUCACUAGGUCCAGAUGAACCACAUCUUCAAGUAUUAAAAGACCUUGAAAAAGUGAUUGCUGAACCACUUUCAGGGAUCUUUGAAGGGCCUCAGAGAAUAAGAGAGGCUUACGAAAUUCUUCACUCAAAGCAUCACUGUCAGAUUGGUCUUGUGGAAAAGAAGCUGCCCUUGUUAGCAAACCAAGUUCAAGAGUUUUGGAACUCAUCCUUGCUGAGAGAGAAAUCAAGUAAAGUCAAGAGGCAUUUAUUAAGCACCAGUGAGCUACCUUUUAUGACAACAACUUUGAAAAAAAAGAGAAAAAAAUUAAUUGAGAAAAACCUGACAUCAUAUAUAAUGUUUGACACCUGUGGAUGUCUACCACAUUGUGUCCCCAACAGUCACAGAAAAAGCAGAGUCAAGACAAUGUAUGUAUACUCUGGGAGCCUGAAAUAAAUGAAAAAGCUGACUUCAAGAGUGGGCCUGCUUGUUUGACACCUCUGAGCAUCAGUGAAGUACAAAUUGGAGGACAAAUUAAGGCCAGGUUUGGGAGUUCUGGAUUUGAUGGAAAGCAGAGAAGAGGGAACCCAUUGAAAGAGGAAAGAAGAUAUGUCUUUUCAUAUGAUGUUAAGUUGGAAGGGGCCUCAGAUGUCAUCUAUCCUGACACCCCAAUUUUACAGCUUCUCUAGACUGAGAGAACAACUGCUCUUUCAUCCAGAAUCUUCUGCUCCUCAAGAUUCCAAUCUCCUGGGACCCCUCCCCCAUCAAGAUAAAGAAGCUAAUGGCUAAGAAGGUUGCGACUCAUCCAAGCUCACUUAGAAAACAACUGUCAGAAGUAGAGUCUGAACUUCAUUCUUCUGACUCCUUCCAUCAAUCUUUCCAGUUUAAAUGACAUUUUCUCCCCUGAAGAUUAAAUAGCAUGGGAAUUAAAAAUCUUUCUGGAAGAUGUAUGGUAAAGUUAUUACUUGAAGAUAUACUGCAUAAUUGAGAUGAAUGUGAUAUGUUGUCCAGAGUCCUUGGCCCAUAUGUAUUAUUUUCCAAGAAAUGUGUGUAAAAUAUAAUUGUCCAUAAUCUUUAAUAAAGAUUAAGCUAUGAAAACA